GAGUAUCUAUAUAACAAUUGUAAUGAUUUUUUUAGAUAAUGAUUUAUCAUUAUUAUAAUAAAAUAUAAUAGAAUACAAUAAAAUAGAAAAAAUUAUAUAAAAAAAGUGGAAAAAAUCUUUUGUAAAUGGAAAAUUAUUUUGAUAAAAUUGAUAAUAAUUAUAUUUCAUUAUUGAUUAAGGUUAUAAUUUUUCUUUAUAACAUUUUUCCAUCAUAUUGCAAGUAUUUGAAGAACGGUGAUAACGGUGAUGAAGAUUUUUUCAAAGAUAGACAAACGAUUCAAUAUUCACACUUUCAAAGAAAAUUGAACGUGAUUAAAAUAAUGAGCAAUUAAACGGUGGAAAUUUAUUCGGAAUGAACCAAGAAUGCUGUUGCAAUUACGGCGUGUUCUAAAGAUACGCGUGUGUCAUUCAUAUUUAACAUGAAAGUAGCUGCAUACUAAUGUUUCAGAAUAAAGAAAUUAGAGAGCAACAGCUAACAGCUAUCGAGAUAAAUGGUACAUCAAAAUUCAGUAUGGAGGAUGACUACAAAUGGAGAAUAUCGGGAAACGAAUUUUAGAUUCACACGUUUGCUCUUCAUUAAUAUUCAGUCUAUCACCCACAAAUGUAAUAGAGUCAUUGGCAAACAUUGUACGAAAGAUAAAAGUAGAAAAGAGAUUAAUUAAAUGCGAAGAUUUUGCGAUCGUUUUAAAAUCCUGAAAAAAAUUUCUUAUUAAAUUAAGAUUAAAUGGAUCAGCAAAAUUAAAUUUAUAUAUGCAGAAACAAAAAUAAAAUAAAUGUGAAAAAUA
Molecule: long non-coding RNA, 785 nt
Organism: Apis florea (little honeybee)
Lineage: Eukaryota; Metazoa; Arthropoda; Insecta; Hymenoptera; Apidae
Source: RefSeq, a predicted model, not a curated record